UAUGUGAUCGUCUCUCGCAUAUCAAUAAGCGGAGGAAAAGAAACUAACAAGGAUUCCCCUAGUAACGGCGAGUGAAGCGGGAAGAGCUCAAAUUUGAAAUCUUAAAGGGUUUCCCUUUACGAAUUGUAGUUUAAAGAAGUGUUUUCUGUUGAGGUUUUGGUAAAAGUUCUUUGGAAUAGGACAUCAUAGAGGGUGAGAAUCCCGUAUUUGACCUUUACUUUCAACUUUGUGAUACACUUUCAAAGAGUCGGAUUGUUUGGGAAUGCAGUCCAAAAUGGGUGGUAAAUUUCAUCUAAAGCUAAAUAUUGGCGAGAGACCGAUAGCGAACAAGUACCGUGAGGGAAAGAUGAAAAGAACUUUGAAAAGAGAGUUAAACAGUACGUGAAAUUGUCAAAAGGGAAGCGUUUGACACCAGUGUUGUUUUUCUGAAAAUCAAUUAAAGAACUGUUUAUGCUAAGUUGUUUAGACUUUAUCAGCUAACUGUUUAGUUUUGAGCUUUUCUUUAAUGCACUUUUCAGUUAACAAGUCAACAUCAAUUUCUUUUGCUGUAAAAAAGCUUGAGGAAGGUGGCUUGAGAUUCGUCUUAAGUGUUUAUAGCCUCUUGCCUAUGCAGUCGGAGAGAUUGAGGUCUGCAGCGUAGAUCCUUCGGGGCUAAAUGCAUUUGUGCUAAGUUAUAGCAUUUUAUAGACAACUUGUUGACUAUGAUUUGUCUUGUAGCUUACUCGCUUAUGUUAUUUUACCUACGCUUAGGAUGUUGAGUCGUAGAGCACGCAG
RNAcentral lists this ribosomal RNA (774 nucleotides) under uncultured Neocallimastigales. RNAcentral describes it as "partial large subunit ribosomal RNA". It matches the Rfam family "Eukaryotic large subunit ribosomal RNA", at positions 24 to 628 of the family's 3401-position model. Lineage: Eukaryota; Fungi; Neocallimastigomycota; Neocallimastigomycetes; Neocallimastigales. The record is from RNAcentral.